CCUACGGGUGGCAGCAGUGAGGAAUAUUGGUCAAUGGACGAGAGUCUGAACCAGCCACGUAGCGUGAAGGAUGACUGCCCUAUGGGUUGUAAACUUCUUUUAUAUGGGAGUAAAAUGUUCCACGUGUGGGAUUUUGUAUGUCCCAUAUGAAUAAGGAUCGGCUAACUCCGUGCCAGCAGCCGCGGUAAUACGGAGGAUCCGAGCGUUAUCCGGAUUUAUUGGGUUUAAAGGGAGCGUAGGUGGAUUGUUAAGUCAGUUGUGAAAGUUUGCGGCUCAACCGUAAAAUUGCAGUUGAAACUGGCAGUCUUGAGUACAGUAGAGGUAGGCGGAAUUCGUGGUGUAGCGGUGAAAUGCUUAGAGAUCACGAAGAACUCCGAUUGCGAAGGCAGUUCACUGGACUGCAACUGACACUGAGGCUCGAAAGUGUGGGUAUCAAACAGGAUUAGAUACCCUUGUAGUC
RNAcentral lists this ribosomal RNA (460 nucleotides) under uncultured bacterium. RNAcentral's name for it is "partial 16S ribosomal RNA". It matches the Rfam family "Bacterial small subunit ribosomal RNA", at positions 338 to 795 of the family's 1533-position model. The record is from RNAcentral.